GAUCCUGGCUCGGGAUGAACGCUGGCGGCGUGCUUAACACAUGCAAGUCGAACGGGAAUUACUUUAUUGAAACUUCGGUCGAUUUAAUUUAAUUCUAGUGGCGGACGGGUGAGCAACGCGUGGGUAACCUGCCUUAUACAGGGGGAUAACAGUCAGAAAUGACUGCUAAUACCGCAUAAGCGCACAGGACCGCAUGGUCUGGUGUGAAAAACUCCGGUGGUAUAAGAUGGACCCGCGUUGGAUUAGCUAGUUGGUGGGG
Molecule: ribosomal RNA, 259 nt
Filed under: uncultured bacterium
Lineage: Bacteria
Description: partial 16S ribosomal RNA
Rfam family: Bacterial small subunit ribosomal RNA
Source: RNAcentral